UGGUCUUGGUUUCAGGUGCGUGACCGCUUCCUGUUCUGAGGAAUGUAAGGGUUGGGAUCCACGCUGUUGCCAGGCAGCUGCUUGCCCGCAGGUACUGAGCGCUGCAUCUCACAGAACGACAGCCGCACCUCGCAAAUCAAUAUUCACCUGACUAGCCAAAUGCAGCGAAGAGGAAACAAAUUUAAAACAUAUCCGUGCGCAGUCAAUACAUCCUUGUGGAAUUAAGAACCACAGAAUUUUGGAACGCUUGUCAUCAUCAUGGCUGAAGAUGCUGAUUGGGGAGGGGAUGCAGUGACAUCUACAUCAAGUCAACAGAAAGAGCUACAGAGUUUGUGAUCGUCUGUCGACAUCAUGGCUGAAGGUUGUAACUGGGAAGGUGAUUCAGUGGCCUCUACAUCAAAGAAACAAAAAGGUUUGUGAGCCUUCUGUGACAUAUAUA
Molecule: long non-coding RNA, 439 nt
Organism: Amblyraja radiata (thorny skate)
Lineage: Eukaryota; Metazoa; Chordata; Chondrichthyes; Rajiformes; Rajidae
Exons: 3
Source: RefSeq, a predicted model, not a curated record